AAUAUUGCGCAAUGGAGGGAACUCUGACGCAGCGACGCCGCGUGAGCGAUGAAGGUCUUCGGAUCGUAAAGCUCUGUCCUUGGGGAAGAAGGUCUUCGGACUUGACGGUACCUAAGGAGGAAGCACCGGCUAUCUACGUGCCACCAGCCGCGGUAACACGUAGGGGGCAAGCGUUGUCCGGAAUUAUUGGGCGUAAAGGGUGCGUAGGCGGCCUUUUAAGUCAGAUGUGAAAGCCCUCGGCUUAACCGAGGAGGGUCAUUGGAAACUGGAGGACUUGAGUGCAGGAGAGGAGAGUGGAAUUCCACGUGUAGCGGAGAAAUGCGUAGAUAUUAGGAGGAACACCAGUGGCGAAGGCGACUUUCUGGCCUAACCCUGACGCUGAGGCGCGAAAGCGUGGGGAGCAAAC
RNAcentral lists this ribosomal RNA (406 nucleotides) under uncultured bacterium. RNAcentral describes it as "partial 16S ribosomal RNA". It matches the Rfam family "Bacterial small subunit ribosomal RNA", at positions 360 to 773 of the family's 1533-position model. The record is from RNAcentral.